GACAGAGGGUGCAAACGUUGUUCGGAAUUACUGGGCGUAAAGACGCGUGUAGGCGGCCAUCUAAGUCGGGCGUGAAAUCCCACGGCUCAACCGUGGAAGUGCACUCGAAACUGGAUGGCUAGAGUCCUGGAGAGGAAGGUGGAAUGCUUGGUGUAGAGGUGAAAUUCGUAGAUAUCAAGCGGAACACCGGUGGCGAAGGCGGCCUUCUGGACAGUGACUGACGCUGAGACGCGAAAGCGUGGGGAAGCAAACAGGG
This 256-nucleotide ribosomal RNA is filed under the name uncultured bacterium. RNAcentral's name for it is "partial 16S ribosomal RNA". It matches the Rfam family "Bacterial small subunit ribosomal RNA", at positions 524 to 777 of the family's 1533-position model. The record is from RNAcentral.